UGGCCUGCCUCUGCUGCGAUGGCUCAAGC
RNAcentral lists this non-coding RNA (29 nucleotides) under Homo sapiens (human). The record is from RNAcentral. Lineage: Eukaryota; Metazoa; Chordata; Mammalia; Primates; Hominidae.